Long non-coding RNA from Pan troglodytes (chimpanzee), 1003 nucleotides. RefSeq lists it as uncharacterized. The record is from RefSeq and is a predicted model, not a curated record. Lineage: Eukaryota; Metazoa; Chordata; Mammalia; Primates; Hominidae. The transcript has 3 exons. The annotation marks the transcript as partial.
GAAAAUCUGGGAGGGGGCAGGGAAUCUGCCUGGGUUUGCUUGUCAGAUAAAUCCUUCCGGAUCACGGGGCUGCCACGGGAGUGGCUUCCACCCCACCAUCUCCUGUCCUGGGUGCUCUGGGGAGAUGAGUCUGGAUCCUACCUGGAUUCUGCCUCCAAGCUGGGGGAAGAAAGCUCCCAUGUUGUGAGGCAUAAAAAGGCCCACAUGUCAAAGAACUACAGCCUGCCAGCGACCACGUGACUGAGCUUGGAGGUGGAUCAUCCCUCAGGGAAGCCUUGAGAUGACAGCAGGCUGGGAGGGAUGCUCAGCCAGGACCAUGCAGCCAUGCUGCUCCAGCAUUCCUGAACCACAGAUGCUGUGAGAUGACAUUUUUUUCCCUCUACAUAUGUCAGCACUUCCCAGAUGUGAUGAUGGUAUUUGAAAGAGCAUGAUCUGGAAAUCCUGAGCCGUGCUGCCACAAGAAAAUGGAUGCACAGAGGACAAGGCCAGGCAGCGCAGGUCUUCAUUACACUGAGACUUUGCCUGAGUCCCAUGGUGCCCCAGUGCCCUGGCCUGGGCACAUCAGCACUGCCUUCUGUCCAGGCCCCAUGAGUCUCAGAUGGUGGACCCUGGUGACGGAAGGCUGGGUAGAUGCCAUGGACCUUUCCGUAGGUCAUAGCCACAGCUGAGCACUUGGUGUCUUACUACUCAGUGGAGAGGAGAAGUGUGCUGAAGGGUGGUAAGAGAGUGUGUCCAGGGGCCCAGACCAGAGUGGGCCAUGCCUCAUCUAGAGAGCAAGCAUCUUCCAGAAAGGAGAGCCCUUGGGUCUUUUUACAGAAGCAAUCAGAAAAACACCGGGAAUCUCCCAGAAGACUGAAUGUAAGAGGACGAAGGGUCCGGGCACAGUGGCUCAUUCCUGUAAUCCCAGAACUUUGGGAGGCUGAGGUGAGUGGAUCACUUGAGGUCAGGAGUUCAAGACCAGCCUGAACAACAUGGUGAAACCCCGUCUCUACUAAAAAUACAA